Long non-coding RNA from Drosophila busckii, 737 nucleotides. RefSeq lists it as uncharacterized. Lineage: Eukaryota; Metazoa; Arthropoda; Insecta; Diptera; Drosophilidae. The record is from RefSeq and is a predicted model, not a curated record. The transcript has 5 exons.
GAUGUAGAGCUACGGCGGAAAUCGGUUUUAGUUGGGCCUAAGGCUUGCACCAGUUAGUAGCAAAGAAUAUUUUGUGCCGCGAAAUAAAUAAAAAAAAAUCAAACUUAAAAUGAGUGAAGCUCAGAAUUUGUUUACCACCUUUGGCAUUUUGGCCAUACUCUUGUUCUUUUUGUGGAUCAUCUAUGCUGUGUUGUAGAUCAACAUAGUGGAUGGGCUGUAGCGGCAUGGAGUGGGGAAAUGCAGUGCAAACAACAACAACAACAAUAAAACAAAAUGAAUGAAGCUAAAAGUUUGGUCACCACCUUCCUGAUUCUGGCCUUCUUGCUAUUUCUGCUCUAUGCCUUCUACGAAGCCGCUUUCUAAAUCAUGUUAAUCAUAGCUAAAGGAUAGUUCAAGGAUAUGCUUACAUGUUGAAUUUUGAUUCAAUUGUUUAUGUUUAGGAUUUUUCGUAGUCACGUUACGCGUUUAAGCUGCUAGCAUUUAAUGGAUUUCUAUAUAGUACACUAAGUCAGAUGACGUCAGCGCCGCAGGUAGCGCACAGCUGCUCACUUUGGAGGGCUUGCCAGCAAGAAUGGACCAGCUAGCGUGUUGCACGCGCAAUGCAGUUCCCAUGGCCUGUUGGCGUUGUCAGUCAUCUGUGCUAAUCAAAAGAAUUUUAUAAAUUUUGUAUUUUGUUCUAAAUCGUUUCGCAAUGGAAUUUUAACUAAUUUAACAAUUAUAGACCAUGAUGUACAGUA